This 320-nucleotide ribosomal RNA is filed under the name uncultured eukaryote. Its description in RNAcentral is "partial 18S ribosomal RNA". It matches the Rfam family "Eukaryotic small subunit ribosomal RNA", at positions 1470 to 1796 of the family's 1831-position model. The record is from RNAcentral.
CCCCUAGAUGUUCUGGGCCGCACGCGCGCUACACUGAACAGUUCAACAAGUCUUAAGCUUGGCCGAUAGGUCUGGGUAAUCUUUGAACGCUGUUCGUGAUUGGGAUAGACCUUUGCAAUUAUGGGUCUUCAACGAGGAAUUCCUAGUAAACGCAAGUCAUCAGCUUGCAUUGAUUACGUCCCUGCCCUUUGUACACACCGCCCGUCGCACCUACCGAUUGAAUGGUCCGGUGAAAUCUCGGGACGGCGGCUUGGUCGCUUGCGUCCGACUGCUGAAACUUGAUUAAACCAUAUCAUUUAGAGGAAGGUGAAGUCGUANCA